GUGGGGAAUAUUGCACAAUGGGCGAAAGCCUGAUGCAGCAACGCCGCGUGAGGGACGACGGCCUUCGGGUUGUAAACCUCUUUUAGUAGGGAAGAAGCGAAAGUGACGGUACCUGCAGAAAAAGCACCGGCUAACUACGUGCCAGCAGCCGCGGUAAUACGUAGGGUGCAAGCGUUAUCCGGCAUUAUUGGGCGUAAAGAGCUCGUAGGCGGUCUGUCGCGUCUGCUGUGAAAACUGGAGGCUCAACCUACAGCCUGCAGUGAGUACGGGCAGACUAGAGUGCGGUAGGGGAGAUUGGAAUUCCGGGUGUAGCGGUGGAAUGCGCAGAUAUCAGGAGGAACACCGAUGGCGAAGGCAGAUCUCUGGGCCGUAACUGACGCUGAGGAGCGAAAGCGUGGGGAGCGAACAGGAUUAGAUACCCCGGUAGUCC
RNAcentral lists this ribosomal RNA (430 nucleotides) under uncultured bacterium. Its description in RNAcentral is "bacterial SSU rRNA". It matches the Rfam family "Bacterial small subunit ribosomal RNA", at positions 354 to 796 of the family's 1533-position model. The record is from RNAcentral.